AACCCUUAUCUUAAUUGCCAGCAUUCAGUUGGGCACUUUAAAGAGACUGCCGGUGUUAAACCGGAGGAAGGUGGGGAUGACGUCAAGUCCUCAUGGCCUUUAUGCUUAGGGCUACACACGUGCUACAAUGGGUGGUACAAAGAGAAGCCAACUCGCGAGAGCGCGCCAAUCUCAAAAAGCCAUCCUCAGUUCGGAUUGGAGUCUGCAACUCGACUCCAUGAAGUUGGAAUCGCUAGUAAUCGCGGAUCAGCAUGCCGCGGUGAAUACGUUCCCGGGCCUU
Molecule: ribosomal RNA, 280 nt
Filed under: uncultured Smithella sp.
Lineage: Bacteria; Pseudomonadati; Thermodesulfobacteriota; Syntrophia; Syntrophales; Smithellaceae
Description: partial 16S ribosomal RNA
Rfam family: Bacterial small subunit ribosomal RNA
Source: RNAcentral